UACGUAGGGGGCAAGCGUUGUUCGGAAUUACUGGGCGUAAAGGGCGCGUAGGCGGCACAGCAAGUCGGGAGUGAAAGCCCGGGGCUCAACCCCGGAAUGGCUUUAAGACUGCAUCGCUUGAAUCCGGGAGAGGUGAGUGGAAUUCCGAGUGUAGAGGUGAAAUUCGUAGAUAUUCGGAAGAACACCAGUGGCGAAGGCGGCUCACUGGACCGGCAUUGACGCUGAGGUGCGAAAGCGUGGGGAGCAAACAGG
This 252-nucleotide ribosomal RNA is filed under the name uncultured bacterium. Its description in RNAcentral is "partial 16S ribosomal RNA". It matches the Rfam family "Bacterial small subunit ribosomal RNA", at positions 524 to 776 of the family's 1533-position model. The record is from RNAcentral.